RNAcentral lists this ribosomal RNA (497 nucleotides) under uncultured bacterium. RNAcentral describes it as "partial 16S ribosomal RNA". It matches the Rfam family "Bacterial small subunit ribosomal RNA", at positions 28 to 507 of the family's 1533-position model. The record is from RNAcentral.
GAUGAACGCUGGCGGCGUGCCUAAUACAUGCAAGUCGAGCGAACAGACGAGGAGCUUGCUCCUCUGACGUUAGCGGCGGACGGGUGAGUAACACGUGGAUAACCUACCUAUAAGACUGGGAUAACUUCGGGAAACCGGAGCUAAUACCGGAUAAUAUAUUGAACCGCAUGGUUCAAUAGUUAAAGACGGUUUUGCUGUCACUUAUAGAUGGAUCCGCGCCGCAUUAGCUAGUUGGUAAGGUAACGGCUUACCAAGGCGACGAUGCGUAGCCGACCUGAGAGGGUGAUCGGCCACACUGGAACUGAGACACGGUCCAGACUCCUACGGGAGGCAGCAGUAGGGAAUAUUCGGCAAUGGGCGAAAGCCUGACGGAGCAACGCCGCGUGAGUGAUGAAGGUCUUCGGAUCGUAAAACUCUGUUAUUAGGGAAGAACAAAUGUGUAAGUAACUAUGCACGUCUUGACGGUACCUAAUCAGAAAGCCACGGCUAACUACGUG